RNAcentral lists this ribosomal RNA (229 nucleotides) under uncultured Bacteroides sp. Its description in RNAcentral is "partial 16S ribosomal RNA". It matches the Rfam family "Bacterial small subunit ribosomal RNA", at positions 1270 to 1507 of the family's 1533-position model. Lineage: Bacteria; Pseudomonadati; Bacteroidota; Bacteroidia; Bacteroidales; Bacteroidaceae. The record is from RNAcentral.
AAUCCCUAAACCCCCUCUCAGUUCGGAUCGAAGUCUGCAACCCGACUUCGUGAAGCUGGAUUCGCUAGUAAUCGCGCAUCAGCCAUGGCGCGGUGAAUACGUUCCCGGGCCUUGUACACACCGCCCGUCAAGCCAUGGAAGUUGGGGGUGCCUGAAGUGCGUUACCGCAAGGAGCGUCCUAGGGCAAAACCGAUAACUGGGGCUAAGUCGUAACAAGGUAACCAAGGGC